CGCGUAGGCGGUCGAGUAAGUCUGACGUGAAAUCCCUUGGCUCAACCAAGGAACUGCGUCUUAAACUGCUCGGCUUGAGUCCGGGAGAGGGUAGUGGAAUUCCCAGUGUAGCGGUGAAAUGCGUAGAUAUUGGGAGGAACACCGGUGGCGAAGGCGGCUACCUGGACCGGUACUGACGCUGAGGCGCGAAAGCUAGGGUAGCAAACAGGAUUAGAUACCCUGGUAGUCCUAGCUGUAAACGAUGGGCACUUGGUGUAGCGGGUAUCGACCCCUGCUGUGCCGAAGCUAACGCAUUAAGUGCCCCGCCUGGGGAGUACGGUCGCAAGGCUGAA
RNAcentral lists this ribosomal RNA (332 nucleotides) under uncultured Acidobacteriota bacterium. Its description in RNAcentral is "bacterial SSU rRNA". It matches the Rfam family "Bacterial small subunit ribosomal RNA", at positions 568 to 898 of the family's 1533-position model. The record is from RNAcentral. Lineage: Bacteria; Pseudomonadati; Acidobacteriota.